This is a long non-coding RNA of Salvelinus sp. IW2-2015, 472 nucleotides long. RefSeq lists it as uncharacterized. Lineage: Eukaryota; Metazoa; Chordata; Actinopteri; Salmoniformes; Salmonidae. The record is from RefSeq and is a predicted model, not a curated record.
UUGUUACGAACGCAGCAUAACAUUUCAGCUCGGGUAGCUCCACUAUAAGUGUUGCGUUGCUUUUCCAGCAGAGUCGUGUCAGUGUGACUUUCUACCUGCUAUACAGACACAUUGUUUUGAGAGCAGAAGAGCAGAGUGGAAGAGAAUCGUUAUUCUAUUUUUCCCUACUGCACUGUACAAUAUUAAUCGAUUAUGCGGCACGGAGGAGGAUGGUGUUUCCAGCAGACACAGAAGAGUCUGACCUCAUCACAUAUUUAUUGAAAUGUCACAGUGACACCUUAAUUACAGAACAGUGGAUGAAGAGGGAAUACGGCCUUCACUACUUCCUGAAACAUCCUCUGUGGACGUGCACUACAUCACGUCCAACCUGUCCCCAAAGAUGAGUGAGAGUGAUACCCUGAAGCAAGUCAAAGAGAUGCAACCCCUGACCUUCCUCCAGGAUUUCCUGAUCAACCCUGAGGGUAUGCACUAC